GGGAGCAUAGCUCAGGGGGAGAGUAUUUGACUGCAAAUCAAGAGGUUCCCCGUUCAACUCUGGGGGUUCCCU
Molecule: transfer RNA, 72 nt
Organism: Alligator mississippiensis (American alligator)
Lineage: Eukaryota; Metazoa; Chordata; Crocodylia; Alligatoridae
Rfam family: tRNA
About the family: Transfer RNA (tRNA) molecules are approximately 80 nucleotides in length. Their secondary structure includes four short double-helical elements and three loops (D, anti-codon, and T loops).
Source: Rfam